Molecule: ribosomal RNA, 363 nt
Filed under: uncultured bacterium
Lineage: Bacteria
Description: bacterial SSU rRNA
Rfam family: Bacterial small subunit ribosomal RNA
Source: RNAcentral
GACGAACGCUGGCGGCGUGCCUAACACAUGCAAGUCGAGCGCGGGCAUUUCGGGGGUAACCCGGGACUGUGCUGAGCGGCGGACGAGUGAGUAAUACGUGGACAACCUGCCUUAAAGCUUGGGAUAACUCCGGGAAACUGGAGCUAAUACCGGAUAAGACCACGGUGUCUAUGGAUGCUGAGGUAAAAGGCGGCCAGGAAACUGGCUGUUGCUUAAAGACGGGUCCACGUCCCAUCAGGAGUUGGUGAGGUAAAGGCUCACCAAGCCAAAGACGGGUAGCUGGCCUUAGCGGGUGGUCAGCCACACGGGGACUGAGACACGGCCCCGACUCCUACGGGAGGCAGCAGGUGGGGAAUAUUGGGC